Molecule: long non-coding RNA, 20100 nt
Organism: Episyrphus balteatus (marmalade hoverfly)
Lineage: Eukaryota; Metazoa; Arthropoda; Insecta; Diptera; Syrphidae
Exons: 3
Source: RefSeq, a predicted model, not a curated record
CUUAAUAAUGAAAUUAAUUUAAAAGAUAAUGAUGGAUUCAUUAAAAAAAAAAACAACAAAAAAGCAAACAAAAUACGAUAUACAUACCUACUUAUACACUAAAAUUAUUUAUCAAAAAAUCAUUAAGCUAUGUACAGCUAAAUAUGAAAGACAAGUAGCUAAAAUUGCAAAUUAAAAUGUACAAUGUACAUAAGAGCGACCAACGAAUGAUCAAAUGAACGAACAAAUGAAAUUGUACAUAUUUUUAGAACAAAUUUCUUAACAAAAAACUGGAGUUUAAAUUUUUCAAAAAACCAAAAAAAAAAAAAAAAAAAACACAUUUUAUUUUCUUAAAUAAGAAACAAUUCCGAGAACAAAUUGUUUUGUAAGACAAAUUUUAUUUCGAAGCCAUAACAUUAUUUUAAGCUAACCUAGUACGCUGCUGAAGCGAAAAGCCUCCAAAGUCAGCAACGAAAGUCAAAAUUAAAUAAUGUCAAUAAAUUAAAACUUGAAAAUAAUUUUGAAGAAAUUAAAAUUCACAAAGUGCAAAAUUCUUUUGGACCAAGGAAUUAUUUUACCUGAAAAAACAUUAUUGAAAACUUUCCAAGUAUUUAAGUACAGGUACCUAAUAAUAUCGUUUGUCAAUCUCGUGUGCUGUGAAACGAAAAGCAUAACAAAAUUUUUCGUUGUGCUGUUUUUUUAUACAAAUUUCCGUUUCGCUUCAGCAGGAUACUGGGCUUUAGAAAUUGAAAUAUAUAUAUAUUUUUUUUUUUUUAAUUUAAAUUUUAGUUAGAUUGCUACUUUAUUAUCCAGAUUUUGUUAGAAAAUACAUAAGCAUAAAAAAUUACAGUUCGUUCAUUCGUUGAUCACUCUGACAGUGCUUUACUCUUAAAAAAACCUUAAAAAUUAAUUGUUUUUACUCACUCUUUCUUUAUUUUUUGGUCAAUCUGCCUUACGUUAUGUAUUCAGUAGUUACAUUCUUGGUUUUAACUACCCCAUGUCACUCUAAGCUAGCCAAAUAACACCAACCCUCCCCUUUACAGAUAGGAAAAAAUAAAAAAAAUAAAUAAAAAAAUACUACCUAAAUGGUUAAAUUUAUAAAGAUGGUGCUCUAAAAAACGGGGUCGGAUUCGGUCGGAUCCAAAUUUUUUAAAAUAUUAUACACGAACUAUUAAGCUUUCAUUCUAGACUACUAAGAGAGUGGGCAUAUGUGAGCAUUUUUUUAAAAGCCUUUUCAAAGUUGAAGAGAAAUUUUCAAAAAGGGUUAUAGAAAAACGUGUUUUAGAAUUAUUAAGAAAUAAAAUUUUAAGAUUUUUUCUUAAAUAUAUAUUUUAGAUAUCAGUAUCUUAUCAACAAAAUUUAUUUCAAGAAGAUAUCUUAAAAAAUGAGCCAGAUAUAAGAGUAUGAAAAUUUCUAAGAAAAACAUCAUUUUUUUUCUUGUGAAAUAGUCCCGACUUGAGACUCUGUAUCUUGGAAACCAAAACAUUUUGAUAAAAAUAACUUGUGGAUUAUGAAAGAAGGGACAAUUUUCUAUGAUUAACAAACAAAAAAUAUGUACAAGAAUGAAAAAAAAAAUUUCACCCAAUGUCCGUAAUUUUGUACUAGACGUUCCACUGUGCGGCCACGCUCUACUGUGUAGAAUUUACGAAAAUGCAAAUAAAACGUUAUUUCAAAAUUUGAAAGCGAUUGACAAAAAACUAUUCGGGAUUUGCUAUGAAACGCAAAUAAACAUUCGAUUUUUUUGUAUAGAGAAGAUAAACAAAACAAGUUGACUUCAACUUAAGAUUUCUCAAAGUAGAAAAAAGAUAUUGAAAAGAUUUAAACGGGCUUUAAAAGAAAACAUUUAGUUCUUUUAGAAACUGUCACAAAUUUAUUUAAAAUAAAUCACCAAGUUUAAGAACAUAACCUCAAAAACUGUUAAAAAACGACAUUUCAGAUUUUCUAACGGGAAUAUUUCAAACACGUGAUAUGAUAGAAUUUUUCUGACUUCGGAUUGUGAGCAAAAUUAAUUUUGCUCACAAGUGGCUUCUUCAAUAAAUGUUAAUUUCGCAAUAAAACACAAAAAAAGAUAUUAAAACUCCAAAAACUUACCUGCAAGUAUUUAUGAUAAACUUUUGUAUGGGCUCGACACACUGUGCGACAGCUCAGUUCAACCAUCAGCUAAGCUCACUUUCAACUCACUUUCAGCUCAAACCCUAGCUCAAAAGUUAGCUAGCUCAAAAUUUGAUCUAGCUCAAAUUUGAGCUGAGCUUUGAGCUGAGCUUAAAUGUGAGCUUUUUGCAACCCUGAGUCAAACCAACCCACCGACAGUUAACGAGAAGAAAACAAAGACACAACUCGAACCGAUACUUCGGUGGAUGAUUUUACAAACUAACACACUGGCCAGACCCAGAAGGGAGAACACGCAGCUCGAACGGAUUCCCCAGUGAACGACUUUACAAACCAACCCACUGUACAGUGGGUAACCUCCCAUACAAAGUGCGGUCAAAAAUAUAAUGACCAUUUUUUUUAAUGAAACGCCUGUAUUAUCAUUUUAUAUGAUUUAUUAUUGCAAAAAAAUGCAUCAAGUCAGUUUUUAAAAUUUUUCGUUAUUUUGAAGAAAAAUAAAAAAAGUAAAAAAAAUUUUUUUUUCUAAAUUUAAAAAAAAAUUGUUAAUGCCGGAAAUGGAACCUUACUGUCAGUCGAGCACCUUACCCUUACCCUCUAGUUCAGUCUUUUGUAAAAAUAAUAGUGCCAAAAAGGAAUUUUUUUAGUUUAACGUUGUAAUUUUUUUUUCUCCGUGUAACGUCAUUUAAACUUGUAUUACUCGAAAAGGGGAAAAGGGGAAAAAACGGCGCUGUUAUUUCGAAAGGUAGGACAGUAUUCUUCAUUUGAGAACUAAAAUUGUAGAGGGCACUCGAAGUCAAACCAACUAAAUCUCCAAUUUAAUGAAAACUAAGCUAAAUAAAAAUGAUUAAAAUUGCUUCGCUAACGAGCCCCAUUACAAUUAGCCUUAAUGUUAUUUAACAAUAUAAUCUAUGUUUUUAGGAAGUAUUAACCUUCUCGUUUAAUAUCCAUAACAAUUUAAUACUGUUCACAAUUUUUUAACACCCGCUAUCACUGUCGCAAGUUCACACCUUAUAACUGCAGCGAUAAGAAAACUGUACCUUUUUUUAUAUACCGACUUUGAAUGGCUAUUAAGAAAUGAAAAAAGGGGUAACCGUCAAACAUUUUUUGGUUUUGGUUCGAUGGGAGAUUGUAGAACGUUGUUUAAUCAUUGGAUUUAAAAAAACUGACAUUUACUUUUUUUUAUUUUUGACCUAUGGCGGGACCCACUGUGCACUGGCCAGAACGAGAAGGGCAACUCGAAAAUCCCCAGUGGUCGAUUUUACAAAAACAACAACAAAAAAUGCACACAAAUAAAGCAAGAAAAAACAAAACAAGAAUAAACCAAUUUUAAUUAAAUUCACAAUCGCUCUCUCUUUUUCCUCGCAAAGAAAAAUCAACAUUUAAAAAAAAAUCAACAAAAAUAAUAUGUAAACAAAAACACACAAAAAAAAACGUUGGCGGCGGCGCGACACGGCUUUAAAAUAAAAAAAAAAAUUUAUGGGAGAAGGGCAAAAAAAAAUAAACUACUAAAUCGUAGGUUCUCAGUGAAUAUAUAUUAUAAAAAAAAUAAUAAAACUACUCACUAUUAAUUUUGGCAAUUGUUUUACAAAACAAUUCAGCUUAUAAUAAUUUAUUGAUAAUAAUAAAAUCAAAAACAAACAAAACCACUUCACUAAACCGGGUAUGGUUUGUUUCGCUUUUCUUAUUUCGGUUUUUGGUUGUUUCGUCUUAGUCGAUUCGCUAUUUUAUUGUUUCGUAUUUUCGUUGUUUAGUUUUUUUAUUUAUUUCGUUUUUCUUUAUUUCGACAAAACUUAUAUUCCGUUUUCUUAUGACUUCGUUUUUAGUUUAUUUUAUUAUUGAUUACUUCGUUUUUUCAUUAUUUCGUUUUGGAAUUAAGUCGAAUUAAGUUCACUUGGACUUUAAUUAUUUCGCCACCAUUUGUUUCGCCCAUUUUUUUGUGGAUGUUAAUAGCCUAAGGGCGUUAUUAACAUCCACAAAAAAAUGGCGAAACAAAUGGUGGCGAACAAUUCGCGUCAUUUCGAGUGUCUGUUAAUUUUAAAAAUGCCCAAAAAAGAAAAAAAAAAAACGAAUUCGUUACAAUUUAAGGUAACAGAUCUCUUAAAUUAUAACGAUUUGCUUAUCUUUAAUCCAAAAGUCUUCAAAACCCAAAACAAUCCACAAAACUGAAGACGGAAUGACCAGAUGCCGAAAUAAACUAAAAGCGGAAUGAACCUUGUCGAAACAACUCAUUGGACUUGUAAUAAAAAUGCGAAAUAAAUAAAAAUCAAGAAGACACAAGGCGAAGUUAUAGUUGGGCGAAGUGAUCGAAAUACGAAGUAAACGAAAACCCAAAUAAAGGAUGGCGAACUAAUAAAAAAAAAUUGUGUCAAAAACGAAAUAACAGAAAUCGAAGUAAAAAAGGCGAAACAAUAGGCACCCCACUAAACCACACCUCACUCCUCACCGUGUGGAAAAAGUGGAGUAUAUCGCGAAAAAUCAGAGCGUUGCGUUGGAGUAGAUUAUUUUUUCCCUCAAAAGUGGAGCAAAUUUGCUCCGAUCGGAGCAGUGUUUGAACCCUGGGUGCAUCCAUCUUCUUCUCCAUAAACAAAAAAUAGCAAGACUGGAAACUUUCGUACGUCUUUCCCCCCAAAACCCUUUUGUGUACAGUGCUGUCUGUGAAUAUAUGUGAAAGCCACCACGUUGGUAAAUGACGUUAACACGCACACAUUUAUAGAUUCACUACAUUCACCACACAUCGGACACGAACACAACGAUAGGUUCACGACAUUCACCACACCUCGCAGCUUGUAGGCAAACGUCAGUUGACCGCCGAGUUUCCAGUCUUGGUAUAUUUUAUUUAUGUUCUUCUCUCUCACUUUCUUUCGCGGUAUUUAUCAGACAAACAAAAAAAAAACAAAGCCAGAAAAAGGAUAGGUAUCACGCUGCAGACGAUCAACAGCUCUUUUCAGUUUUCACUGGAUUCUCGCAGAUCAUGAGUGCGCCAAGUGAAUUUGAAGAAAAAUUAAAAUGAGAGAUAAGAAAAAGGGCAAGGGACAUUUAUAUACUGUUGGUUGAGAACUAGACAUAACCCCUUAAUUAAGAAACUAAGCACCAUUGGACUUAACGAUCGCUUUAUUUUAUGGAUUUCUUCGUAUCUCAAAAAUAGAUUAUAAAGUAUUGUAUUUAAAAAUGAAUGUUCCCAAUGGUUUAAAGUUAAUUCGGCUGUACCACAAGGUAGCCACCUUGGUCCUGUAUUGUUUGUCUUAUUUAUUAAUGAUCUUCCUUUUGUUUUAAGUAACUCUAUGGCUUUAAUUUAUGCCGAUGACGUGAAAAUAUUUCGAUGUCCUGUCAUAUACUUAUUUGUUGAACACGUCUCAAUUAGUCUAUCAAAUUUCUCUGACCUCUGUGUGGUGUUGGAUUCAUAAUAUUCAUUCACUAACCAUUACAAUUAUAUUGGUUUCAUUAAAAGAUUUGCUCGUGACUUUCGUGAUCCUUAUGUGCUUAAAAUUCUGUAUGUUUCAUUUGUUAGUUCUACUCUUGAAUACGGUUGUAUUGUAUGGGCCCCAUACGCGGUUCAUGUGUCAUGUCAACAGAAUAGAAUGUGUUCACAGAAGAUUUUUGAGAUUUUGUUUACGUUUUCUUCCCUGGUCUUGUAGGAUUGAUUUGCCACCAUAUUCACAUAAACUUCAAGUAAUAAAUGAGUGAAUCAUUGAGUGAUUCCAAUCGAAAACGACAUUAAUGUAGUUGAAAUUGUUUUUGAAAAAUAUUGUUCAAUAAAACCAACUGUACCUACUGGAUCUACUCUUUAAAUGUAUUCAACUUGUGUUAGCGACUUUUUUUCAAAUAACGACUUUUUCGGCAAAUAAGCGACUUUUUUUCAAUUUUUCAGAUUAGCGACCUUUUUUUCUGAAAGCAACUUUCUUUUAGCGACCUUUCAAAAAUAUUCAACGGUAACGCUGAUGAAAGGUAAAAUAAUAAGCUUUCACAUGAUAUAAAAUAUUUUAUAGGUUAUCAUUAAAAAAAUUGAUUCAAUAAGGUGAGAAGAUAAAAUUAUAUGUUAUUUUUGCUUUUUUUUAUGAAAUCUGAAUAAAUAUUUUGAGCUGAAAUAAUAAGCUUUCUGAUGGUAUAAAAAUGGAUUUUUGGGUGAUGGAAAUGAUUGUUUUUAAUAAAUUAUUUUAAUACUUUUUGCGCAUUGUAAAAAUUUAAAAUUUGCCUUUUAAUGGAAUAAUUGUUUUUGUAAGCUUUUUAAAUAAAAUACCAAUAUCGCAAGUAAAAAUUAAUAUAAUGAGAAAUGAAAAAGGGUAAUUUUGUUUAGCUUUUUCUUGUAAAUUAUGAUUGUUUGAAAUGAAUAAACGCUUCAAUUGACUCAUUUUAACCCUAGUUUACGGCACACAAAAUAAUGCAAUAACCCCAAAGCUUUUAUGCACCUCUAAUUGUUCAUUAUCAACAAUUUGAUGCAUUGUCUCUUUCUGUUAUUGAUUAAGGUAACAGUUGCGGUGUCUUUUUUAUGAUAACACGUGUUUGGUUUUGCCAAAAUAUACCUAAUAAAAAUUGUUGAAAAUAGUCCAUUUAAAGUCUUGGGGUUUGCAUAAACCCCAAGUUUGGUUUGUGACUUUUUUUCAGAAAAAAAUUCCAGAAAAUUAUAUAAAACCGCUUUUAUGGAAAAAAGACAAAAAACGUAAACAAAAAUUAAUUUCGUUCACUGAGUUUUCAUCCCAGGUCGAAAAAAACGAUUUAGAAAAAAGUUAUAACCAUUUCGCAAUAACCCAAAUCCGUAAACUAAUUUUAAACAAAAGCACACAACCUGUUUUCUUACUACUUUAUCACGUAAAAUCAUCAUCCGUAAACCGGCUUUACAGACAACCACUUUUUUUUUUAAUUAACGCGCAUAUCAAGGGGUUAUGAAUACCCUUAGAUUGUUAUAAAAACACAAUGCGAGCUUUUAGGAAAAGAGGAGAGGAUUUAGUAGGAGACAUCGAUGUACAUUGACUUUAAACCCUUGUAGAUUGUAAUGCGGAGGAAAGACAGAGCCAGAUAAAGCAUUCCACAUACGAGUUGAACGGCUAAAAUAUGAGUCUCUAUACUUAACUGUACGGCCGAAGUUGGUUCCAGGUAGAAUUUAUGGGCAUUCCUAGCGAGGUGUGUAUUGCGGUUAAAAUUCUUUAGGGGAGGAAUGCAACUAGCUACUUCACUAGAGCACUGAUUAUAAAAAAAGCGAUAAAAGAGUGAAUGUCAGGUUACAUUACGACGAUGUUCAAGAGAAUCUAUUGAUUCAGUAAUUGCUCCAUCGCCAAUCAGUUUUAAUGCUCUGUGUUGUACCCUAUCUAGUAGGCGCAAAGAUGUUUGGGAAGCACCUGACCAACUGUGUGAAUUAUGCUCUAGUUUAGGUAGGACGUAGGUUUUAUAAAUGAAGGCCAAGUCUGAAGGUGUGAAGAAUUUCCCGCAUCUUUUAAGAAAACCUAAGCAUUUAACACCAUUUUUGGCAACUUGAAAUAUGUGGUCGUUCCAACGUAUGUAGAUCAUCAUUAACACACGUACCUUUACCUAGUACUGAUAGCUUUUCGGUUUCAUUGAUGCAGGUACACCAUGGAUAGUGGCAAAGGCGGUACAUUGAAUUUCAACGACAAAAGACAGCAUUGGGUUUUCGAAGCAUUGUAUUCUAAUCGGUUUUCGUAUCCCCAUUUUACAAUACUGUCGAGAUCAGAAUUCAAUGAACUAAUCAUACGCAACCGUUCACGCUCUAUAUCCGAGGAGCAGGGACGUGAAGUAGGAAAUGAAUAUGAGAAGCUAAGGGUUGAGUAGUCGGCGAAACAAUUCACUGGAUUAGUAGUUUUUGAUAAGAGAUCAUUUAUGAAUAUAAAAAAAAGAGUCGGAGACAAAACGGAACCCUGGGGCACACCAGCAUUUAUGUAGUGAAUGUCAGAUUUAUAACCAUCCAACACAACUUGUGUUGAACGAUUAGAUUGGAAAGAAUUGACGUUAGUGCAACUGGCCGGUAAUUGGAUGGGGAGAACGAUUCGGCUUUUUUGGGAACAGGUUGGACAUACGCAGUUUUCCAACUGCUCAGAAAAAGUCCAGUUGAAUGGGAUAGAUGGAAAAUUUUGCGAAGUGGCUUUGCCAAAGUAGAAGAAAACCUCUUCAGAAUAAUGGCGGGGAUACCAUCUGGACCAGCGGAUUUUGUGUAUAUUGAGAUCGUUUAAGACUCUCGCUACCGAGCGAGUGCGAAAAAAUAUGUUUUGCUUCAUGGUAAAGUUUACACUCUCAAGCUCGGGAGGAGCCAGGUUGCUAUUUGAAAGCGUAGAAUUCGCAGCAAAUUGUGCUGCCAGCAAUUUGGCUUUGUCGAAAGAACUGACAGUUGCAAUGCCGUUGAAGAAAAGCGUUGGGAUCGAAGAUGUAGUUGAGUCCUUGAUGUUUUUGACAAAAGACUAAACAUUUUUGCUACCUUUUGGACAUGACAUUAUUUUUUGUCGAAUUUGCCUAUCAUGUAAAAACUUAGUCUUCCGAAUGUGGGCGUUACAGAUAUUUUUGGCCUGUUUGAACUUUAAUUGUUUUUCUACUGUAGGGUCAUUUUUAUAUUUCCGAAAACAUUCUUUUCUCAUCCUUAUCACCUCUUAACAGCUCGAAUCGAACCACGAAUUUUCUUUGGGGGUGAUACUCUUAAUUCUGUGAGGAAUAUAAUUUUUCAUGCCGUUAAGAAUAACGUUAGAUAUCAUAUCAGCUGAUGCAUCAACGUUAACCUCGAGAAAGCACAAUGACCAAUUAAAAUUUCGAAAGAAAUUGUUCAGGCCAUCCCAAUUGGCUCUCUCAUAUUGCCAAACAGUUCGCUUAGGGAUUUUUACUUUUCUUAUAACGGCGGAAUACGCAAAAUCUACCGAUAUGACACAAUGUUCCGAUGUGCCUAGAAGAGAAGAUAAUUUUACCCUUUUUUUAGGGAUGAGAAUAAAAGAACAGAUCAAGAGUGCUAGCAGCAUGACCUGAAAUAUCUGGAAUCCGAGUCGCUCGUCAACAAGCUGAGUUAAAAGAUUUAACUCAGCGAAGAUUUAUACAUAAUCUCAUAAUCUUCCUUCGGGUGUUGUCUGGCCAGAAUGUCGAAGCCAACCCGAAUUGUGGACAUUGAAAUCGCCCGCAAUUGCGAUCUCAGUGUGAGGGUUUUGGGAAACAAUUCUUAAUAUAGAGUCUGAAAGUCCAUCUUACUCACUGUAGGUUGAUUAACAAUCUAAAUUGGGGCUUCUAUAUAUGAAACAAUAGUGGAUGGAUUGCUUUUGAACAAUAAAUUUUAUCCACUUUUUAAAUAAAAACUAUUAACUUUUAACGAAGAAAAAAAUAACAAAAAUAAUAAAAAAAUUAUUAAAAUUAUUUUUAUUUUAAGUGGAGUGAUUGAAUACAAUUCAAUAUAAGUUGGAGUUGAGGUCACUUGAACUUAUAUUGUAUUAACUUUUAUAUUAUUUUUAUUUCGUCAUCUUGGUCACCUGAAAAUGCCAAAAAUGUUGAUACCAAUUUUUAAUUUCUGCAUUUUAGGCGUUUGUUGAUUUUUGAAAAAAAAAACGCGCUUGAUAUUAAUAAUCGCAAGUGGCGAAACGCGAAACACACUGAUUCCUACAACAAAAAUAUUUUAGAAACAGAGAAUAAUUCAUAUUAACGUUUGUUUUUGUUUUAGUUUAUAGAACAUUUUUGUUUUAUUUUCAAUUUUGGUCUAAUUAAAGUAUUUUUACUUAAAAGAAUCUUCUCCGAAAAUCGUUGUCUUCCCAUUGAGAAAAAUGAUCCGGCCUUUUUCUAACAACUCUUUGUUUUCUUGAUACUGCAGGAAGCAAAUCGAUAAGAAUUUCUCAACAAAAUAUUUUUCUUUUCUAAUGAAAAACAACAUUAUAAGGGUAUUUUUAUUUUUUUUUGAAAGCCAUUUAUUCUUAGGAAUAACUCCUUAUUUGACUGUGAAACGAACGGAUAACAUUUAUUCCUAAGAAUAAGUGCUAUCUGACUGUUUACCUGGCGAUUGAAAAAUUUGCCCUUUAUAAAACUAUAAUAAUAUAUGAGGGGAAAAUAAAAAUACAAAUAGGCAUGCAAUAACUUUUUUAUUUUUUUUUUUCAAUUUCCCUUAUUUAGGGCCUUAACUUUUGAUCUAAGGUAUGUCUCCUCUGAAAACACCACUUUGAGAAAUAACGGACAACCAUACUAUACAAAUAAACUGACAUGAACCUACACGAACACAUUCCACAAAUAAAAUUCCCUUGAUUAUUGGAUUUCAUAACCAUUUUUUGACUUAGAGGCGGGAUAUAGCAACAAAGUCAAUAUCAAUUAGAUAGGCUAUACUUUACUUACCGAUAGGAAAUCAUUUAAGAAAUUGUUUUCAAAAAAAAAAUUUAUUCAGCAAAUAUUUUUUAUUAAACACCUAUGAAUUUUUGUGUUUAACUGCUUAUUUGGAUCAGAAAAAAAAAGGAAUUAAUUUUAAACAAAGCGGUUGUUCAAUUGAAAAUAUUAUUUGCAAAAACAAAUUUUUUCAGUAGGUAAUAUUCUACAUAUCUAUUAGUGUGGCAUUUGUUCUUUUAUCUUAUAUAAUACCGCUGGUUGUCGAUUUAAAAAUGUUUCUUCAUCCGUUUUAAUGAUCGCUAUAACCUGCCUUGAAUCCCAUAAUCGGAAAUCCUGCUUUUUGAACUUGAGAUAUAUUAUAAUAUAUUGUGGAAAAUCAUCAUAUAUGAUUUUAGGGUAUUUUUGAUGUUGAAUCUAAAGACACAAAAAUAAAGAAAAAUUAUAGCCAAUUAAAAACAAGGGUGCUUGUUUUUUGACCUCACCAAAUAGAAUAUAACCGAGACCCAUGUGAAAUUCGGAUGAAGGUUUAAGAUAAAGCAGGGACAAAGAAUUCAUAAAGUUCUUAAAAAUACUUUUGGUGAAAGGGUGUUUUUUUGAUGGCAUGAGUUGUGUGUGAGGAAGGUAUCGUAGCAGCUGACAUACAUUUUAAUAAUUUUUUAAAUUUGGUAAAAUAGUUUCUUUUCGUAUAAGAGUUAAGAAUCUAAAAAGUCUACAAAAUUAUCUUGAGUAAAAUGUUUUUUUUAAAGAAAUGAUGAAUUCAGAAUUUGUACCAGAAAAUCUGGGACAAAAUUGUUACCAAAUUGGUUAAAAUGUAUCAUUUAAAACAGAAACCAACAACACAAGCAGUCUAUACAAAUAUUUUAGGUGAAAGCGUGUUCUUUUUUUGGGAAAUAGGGAAAAUCCACGAUAAGUCCGAUAAUAUCAAUGUUAUAAAAGUUACUCUUACGAAAUUUAUUAAAAAUGUUGUCUCUCGCAUGGGAAAAAGGAUUAAAUAAGUCCAGUAAAAUCUGUAUUUAGUCCCAAAAAACCAAUGAUUCUUUCUCAACCCAUCAAAAAAACACACUUUCUCCAAAAAUAUUUUUAACCCUUUGGGUACCAACGUUACUCUCAUGUAACAUAUCUUUAAAAAAUCGUAAACAAUAUUCCAUCAAAUAAUUUUUUAGGUUUCGAUGGCUUAAUUGGAAGAUAAUAAUGCCUAGUUACUGGAUUAGUACAAAAAAUUAGUCAAAUAUCAUACAUACUUUUAAUUUUUUUUUAUCAAAAAAGGGACUGAAAUCCAUACUUUUUUUUUUGCAAAAAAAAAUUUUUUAAAUAUGGUCAUAAUUUUGAAAAAAUAUAUAAAAAAUGUCAAUCCAAAAAGUGUUUUGUGUUUUGGCUUAGAAGAAGUAGCAUACAUAAUUGUUCUAUAAAAAGUAAUUUUCUCAGUUGUCCUACUUUUUUUGGUGGUCAUAGGCAGUGCAUGUUACUAACAUGUAAUAUUUUGGAAAAUAAAUUUUUGCUAUUCAUAUUUCUGAUGAUGAUGUUUUUGACACGAAAAUACUGAAAAAACAUUUUUUAAUAUUGAUUUUCAUACCUUGGGUUCGAAAGGGUUAAGAACUUUGUUUCUGCUUUAUUUUAAACCUUCAUCCCGAAUUUGAUCAGUGUAGCAUGUUUUUCACAUGGGUUUCGGUUAUAUUUUACACAGAGAAAACAAACCACAUAAAAUUAAGCGGAUCGCACCUUAACCCCUUGUAACCCAACAUCGUAAAUUUUAAAAUUAAUAAAGUCAAUCGAAAGGGCUUUAGCUAUAAUAAAACACGUAUUUUUUAAAAAUUCAAUAAAUUCAUUAGGGUCAAUGUGGGUAAAUGUAAACAGGGGUAAAUGAAAACAUGGCUCAUAACAAGCUUCAGUUAAAUCUCUUUGAUGCAUACAUAAGUACAAAUCGCGGACGCAUGUAUCCUUUAACUUAUACGUCAAGCUCAUUGCUGUCAAGAGAGAAUUCAUUCGACGAGCGUAUUUUCCGUGAAAGAUAAUUUUUUAAAGUGCCAUACAAGUCGUAAGUCUUUCAGAAAAAUUAAAUAUUUUUGCAGAUUCAAUUAAGUCAGUAUAAUUUGCAAAUACUUUUUUGUUUUUAAUUUUGAUGUAGAUUCUAUGUGAUACAAGCAAAUUUUAAAAUACAGGACAUUUAUUUCGAUUUGCAUGUGUUUACAUUUACCCCAGAAUAUUUUUCAUAAUGGGUAAAUGUAAACAACGUAUUCUGGGGGUAAAUAUAAACAUAUAUUUUUGCUGAAAUUAUUGGUUUUAAUAAAAAUAACGUAUUUUAAGUCAAUUACUAUUGCUAAAGUGCCGCGGAGUCACAUUUUAAAGUAGCCAACACCAUCAUUUUCAGUAUAUAAAGAAUCAAAGGAAGAAAACAAAAACUUUUAUUGGAAUUUGAAAAAGUUUUUGUCAAAUACCUCCUUGAACGUUUUUCAAGUUGUUAUCUAUAUGAUAAAGAGGAAAUUCUAAAUUUUAAAUUUUAAAUCUCAUGUCCGCGAGUACUAAUUUUCUUGGUUUGAAGAUAAGGUGCAGGUUUGAAAAAAUUGAAAAACUACUCUUCAGAUAAUUGUGUCAGAUCAACAUGAAUAAGGUGCAUUACUUUUCAGGGAUGGUCAUAUUGAUUUGUUUGUGGAUUUUGUUGGAAUCAGCGUUAGAAAAUACCUUGAAAUGAUAUGGGUUAUGUUUGUAUACAUUAAAGAAUCUAAAGUUUUCCUAUUAUUUUUUUUAAAUCUGCACCUAACUUAGUUUAACCUGGAAAAUUAGAACUUGCGGACACGAGAUUUUUUUAGAUUUUUGACAUAAAUUAUAGAAUAUCCAAACAAACAUAGAAACCAAAAAAUUAGCCUAUGAGCACUAAUUCCAAGAUUGUACCUGGAUGUUUUUUAGUGCACAUCCCAAAAUUUCCUCUUUUCUCAAAAAAUACCAUUUUGUCAUAGAUAUGAAUGUUUUUUGCAUUGCAUUGUUUUGAUUCUGAAUGAUAAUGUAUCUUAAAACCUUCAUGCUAAAUUUGGUUCCGCUACCAUACCUUUUAAGGGUUUUUCGGUAGUAAGUUAGCAACUGUUAUAAUAAUAUGGGUUGAAAGAUGAAAAACAGGUAUAACUGUUUCCAGAGACGUCAGAUUGUCUUGAUUUUAGAUUUUUUUGGAAUCAGCAUUAAAAAAUACCUUGAAAGCAUGUAUUAUAUGUGUAUAUAAUACCAUAGCCUAUUUUUGCUAAUUUUGAAAAUCUCCAUUUCGCGAUUUGACCUCGAAAUCGCGACAAGCGGACAUGAGAUUUUUCUAGACUUUUGAGAUAUGUUAUAGAAUGGCAAAAGGAAGAUAUUGAGCAGUAAAAAAAAAAGUUUAAAUAAUUUAUUUUUGUAUAUAAAUGCAAAAAUUCAAACAAAAAGCUAUCUAAUAUUUAUUUUUAGGCGCAUUCCUAAAAUCCAAAAAUAAAACCCUGUUAGUUUAUGCACGAAAAAUAUUUUUUCUGAAUUUCGUAGUUUUUAUAUAAAUUUGCUUGUUUUCCAAAAAAGCCGAACUUUCAACAUUAACUGCCAAUUAAAAACUAUUGGGCUAUUUAUUAGAAAUAUGGCGCAUUAUUUCGAUAAAGCAAUCCUUAAAGAUUGUGUAAGAAGCUUUAAAAGAAUAAAAAUAUGUUUUUUACAUCUUUUGGGCGAUCUUUUUCGGUUUGUUACAGAAAUGUCACAUGGGGCUACAAGGGGUUAAUUUAUGAGGAUUUCUGCAUGGUUUUUUGCUAAGAUGACUUUCACCUUAAAUUAAGGUGACAUCACCUUGUUAAGGUGACAUCACCUUAAAUUAAGGUGACAUCACCUUAAAUUAAGGUGACAUCACCUUAAGUUAAGGUGACAAGUCACAUUAAUUUCUUGAAUGCGCAAAUUAAAAAAAAAAACAAAACUGGCAGCCACCGGGUAUCGAACCUACAACUACUGUUGGGUUACUAGGCCAGUGCCUUACCACUGUGCUAUCUCACUGUUGGAAAUGAGUAUGAUAAACUGCAAGUAAAGCUAAAGUGUGACUAUCUAUAAUUUUAAAAUUUUUAUUUUUGGUCGGUUUUUUAAGAUGAACAUUCAAAUUAAAAUAAGAUGAAUUUCACAAUAAAUUUAACUGAGUUUAAGUGGAAUCACCUUAUUUUAAGAGGAUAUCAUCUUAUUUAAAGGUGCUGAAAUUUAAUGUGCGCAUUAUCUUAUUUUAAGGUGACACUUUUUUCUCCGUAUACCUGUUGAAGUUUUUAUAGACUUUUUUUCUGCUUGGUUCUUAUCCCAAAAGCAAACUUUUUGCCAAGUUUCAUGAGUGUAACAAUUUUUUUUAUUUGUUGAUUUUAUGUAGGUACUAUUUUACCUAUACUAAUUGUAUAUUGAAAUUAAAAGCAAUUAUUUUAGCUACAUAUAUUCGAUUAACAUUAUUUUGAAAACUUCAAAAACAAAAAUAUUUGACUAAUGGCGAAUGGCCCACUACUAGCUACAAAUGUAACAAAUCACAAGUCGAAAGCUUUAUGAGGAUUGGAAUGAUUUAUGACCGACUUUGAAGGAAAUCAAAAGUUGUGAUUGGAAAGUUGAAAAAGAGAUAUAUGUAAUUUGUUAAAACGCUUAAAUGUGUAUCGACAACAAUGCUGACUGAAGUCAGCCCGUCAACGAACUAAAACCUAAACGAAACUUGUUAGUUGAUCGGCAAAUCGAAAGACCUACAUAUAGAUCAAAAACUAUUCUAAUUUCGACUUGCAACAAGACAAUUGUGUACUUAAUUUGUGCUGUGAUAAUAGGGUGUGAUCCAAUAACUGGUGACCCAGUUAGCGAACACGUUCGCAAAAGAAAAAAAACGAGAUCUUGCUUAAUUUAUAUUAAACGAAGCGAAGCAAUAAAUAACGUUCAUUUAUCGUCAACUAUAUACGCACGAGAACUAAAUAUGUGCUAAGAAAUAUCAUAUUUUAUAACCCACAAGCAGAAGCGACGUCACAUUGUCCACCUAUAUAUAUGUAUAUACUUACAAAUAUACGCACAUAGAGCAUCAGAGCUGGCGACCAUCUAUUGAUCUACUAACACAAGGUUUUGUGUAUGCAAACAGUUAAUACUAAAGCAAGGCCCCGCUGUAUCAGAAGAAACUUACAACAAAUACCUUAACAUCGACGGCAGUAAAAUCAGAAACGAAAAUCUGCUAUCAUCCGAAUAUUAAAACUACCGUAUUCUAGAAGAAACCCAGCCUGUUACAUCGGAAAAAAUUUUCGCAACGUGGGAUUUUUGUUCAUCAAGUCAUCAUUUGAAAUAAUAUCAGCACUUAACAAUUUCUUAAUUAAAUUUUCAAUUUCUUUAUUAAUUUUUUUUGGCUCAUAUUAUUUUUAACUUUUAAAAUGAAUCAGCAUUUAAUAAUUUCUAAAUUUCAUUCUCGCUAUUAAUUUUUUUGAGUUUUACGAUUUGCCGAAUCCAUUAACAAGCCUUCAAUUUCAAUAUGCCCGAAAUGAAAGAGCUAGAUGUCCAGUCAAACGGCACACCACCCGUCGGAGGAGGCUCAGGGAACGUUGUGAAUACAGUAGAGCACAAAAUAAGCGCUUUACAUUUCAAAAAUCUGCCAUUUUGGCCCGAUAAUCAUGAUGUGUGGUUUGUUGCAUUAGAAUGACAGGAUAGGUCAGAUAACGCGUGAUAUUUUACAUCUUUGGGUUUACUAGACGCGCGUCCGAUUAAUUAUUGUAAAGAUGUUAUAAUGAAGCCACCCGCGAGUUCGCUUUAUGAAAAUUUUAAACAAACAGUUUUAUUUCGUCUAUCGGAAUCUCAUGAAACGCGACUUAAUAAACUUUUAAACGACACGUCUUUAAGUGAUAAGACACCCAGCGAACUAUUUCGUGAAAUGCACGCAUAAGCAGGAACUCAAAUUUCGGAAUCGGUUCUAAGAAAUCUAUGGAUACAAAGACUUCCACCGGCUGUACAAGCUGAUGUUAUAGGAAAUGCCGAGACUCUGAGGUAGUAGCAGGUAUUGCAGAUAGAAUUUUAAGCAACACAUCCAUCCAAACUGGUGUUUCGGUUUUAUCUAAUGAAACAUCAAUUGAAUCAAAUUUUGAAAACAGGCAGAGAGAAAUUUCAGAAUUAAGGAAGCAAAUUAAUGAUAGGAAUCAGCAGGUCCAUUUCUCCAAGACGGAGAUUUUCGAAACGGCGGCAUUACAACUCACACGUGCGCUUAUUUUCUCCGAUUUGUUGGUACCACCGAAAUUGGUGUAAUAACGCAAGAUAAUUUAGGUACUCAACCUUGUAGGCUUAGGCGUUAAGGGCACAAAGUAACGGAAAUUUAGUUUUCUCAAUCGAUUGCGACUUGCGAUUCAGGCUUAAUUCAAAACUCUCGCCUUUUCAUCCGUGACCCCUCCGGCCAAUUCCGUUUUCUGAUAGAUUCCGGAGCAGACAUCUUCGUGCUUCCGAUUUCUUCUGCUUUUCCGAGACCCAAACCUAGUGGACGAUUAUUAUAUGCAGCAAAUGGUUCUCCAGUUCGAAUUUUCGGACGCUAGAAAAUAACCAUCGACUUAGGGUUUUAUCGCAAGUUUACUUGGAUAUUCAUAUAUGCAGAUGUAUGUAGAUAAACCGAUAAUCGGAGCUGACUUUCUAAAAGCCUUUGGUCUUUUAGCCGACAUUAGAAAUAAACGUUUAUUGGACCUCCAUAACCAAAAAUCAAAAGGUAAAGAGUACAAGGCCCUCGUGUGAAUUGACCCUUUUAAAUAAAGACGCGACAGCCAAGAAGUUAUAAAUCUCAUUAAAAACUACAAUAUUAUAUCCAACGGUAACAUAUUCGUGUGACCAGCACAGCAAGAAGUAACACACCAAAUAGAAACAGGUGUCACUAAGCCACUAGCAGUUAUAUGCCGGCCAGCAGCAAUCCUUGGGCUUCACCAUUACAUCUGGUUAAGAAAAAAAAUGGAGAGUGGAGACCUUGUGGGGACUACCGUCGGCUUAAUGCUUCCACAGUGCCUGACAAUUAUACUACCCCACCAAUUCAAGAUUUUGCAAACGAUCUUUUCCGUUUUUUAUUUAGUUCGAGCCUAUCACCAAAUACCCGUCCAUCCGAAUGACAUUCCAAAAACGGCAAUCUGAACUCCUUUUGGUCUAUUUGAGUUUUCAAUGAUGACCUUCGGACUGAGGAAUGCCGCACAAACUUUCCAACAGUUCACCGAUUUAGUCUUAAGGGACUUACCAUUUUGCUUUCCGUACAUCGAAGACAUACUCAUUGCUUCAGAAAAUUUUUCUGAGCACUUAGAACACCUUAAAAUUGUUAUUUGCCAGGCACGGUUUAGCUAUCAAUACGGACAAGUGCAAAUUUGCUCAAACCACGAUAAAAUUUCUAGGCCAUUCGGUAUCGGCUCAGGGCAUUGAAUCAUUCCCCGAGAAGGUUAGAGCCACAAAAAAAUGUAAGCGCCCAAUAAAUGUCCAAGAAGUUCGCCGUUUUUUGGAAAUGCUUUAUUUUUAUAGGAGGUUUAUACCAGCAGCAGCCGUAUCAAAAUUUUUGGCUCACAAAGUUUCUCAAAGGGCGAAAAAAGAAAAGCGAUAAAUCAAUUAUUAUCUGGGAUACUGAACCAAAUGAAUCUUUUCAAAAAUGCAAAGACGAACUUUGAAACGCAACUCUUCUAGCUUUUCCAGCAAGUAGUAAGCAAAUAUCACUCUACGUGGACGGUUCAGAUGUAGCUGUAGGCGGCGUAUUAAAGCAAAUGGAUAUUCAAGGAUGGCAACCCUUUUCCUUUUAUUCAGCAAAGCUAAAUGAUAGUCAAAAGAAAUGCAGUGCUUAUGACAGGGAGUUGCUAGCGGCAUAUUUAGCUAUCAACUAUUUUCGUUGCCUUUUAGAAGGCAGAAACUUCCGUAUCCUUACGGACCACAAACCACUCACAUAUGCUUUAAGGCAGAAAUCAGACAAAGCAUUUCCUAGGCAAACAGUCACUUGAGCUACGAAAAGUUUCUAUCCCAAACUCGUCAUCCACUCUGAUUUGUGACACAUCGAUCAACAAAUUAAGACUUUUCAUAACAUCUUUUGGUAGAGAUGUUUUCAAUAGUAUUCAUAACUUGGCACAUCCUGGUACUACUUUCACGGUCAAAAUGAUAGCUAACAAUAUGUUUGGCCCUCAAUGAACAAAUGUGUAGAGAAUGGGCACGUUCCUAUUCAGGUUGUCAAAAAUCGAAAAUCUCAAGACAUGUAAAAACCUCUCUCGGACAUUUUGAACCCGUCUAAAAACAUUUUGAUGAUAUUCAUAUCGAUAUAGUCAGUCGGACCACUACUCGCAUCUUAAGAUUUUUGUUGCCUCCUUACCAUCAUCGAUAGAUACACUCGUUGGACAGAGGCAAUUCCUUUGCGUGACAUUAACGUUGAAACAGUAGCAACCGCGUUAUUUAAGGAAUGGUUUGGUCGUUAUGGCAUACCUACCUCAGUAGUAACCGAUCAAGGAGCGCAAUUCGAAUCGCAGUUUUUAACGAGGUAUGCAAGAAAUUAGAGAUUAAGGAUUAAACAAAAUCGAACUACAGCUUAUAACCCGAAAGCCAAUGGUCUAUUUGAAAGAUGGCACCGAACACUUAAAGCCUCUCUCAAAUGUCACAAUGAUCCACAAAGAGUCUUCCAUUUGUUCUACUAGGCCUGCGGUCGGCUUACCGGGAAGAUUUCAAAGCAAGUUCUGCAGAGCUCACAUUUGGUAAAACAAUACGUUUACCCUCAGAUUUUUUCGUAUCCGAAAAAACCUCAGUACACCAGUUUCGCCAGACAAUUGAAUCAAGAUUUUAAAAGAAUACAGCCAAGUUCACCUACUCGCAAACGCCAAGAAAAAACUUUUAUUUUCAAAGAACUCGAAACUUGCACGCACUUGUUUGUCCGGGUAGACAAAAUCCGAAAACCUUUAAAGCGACCUUUUGACGGCCAAUUUGAAAUAAUACCGCGAAAUAAUAAAACGCUUAAGCAGCUGAUUAACGGUAUUAAACAUACAAUAAACAUCGACCAUUUACAGCCUUAUUUCGGUUUAAAUUUAAAAAUACAUGAAAAAACCCUGCAAUACAAAUACCACCUGUUACCAAAUCCAAGAAAAAAGUAUCUUUUGCAACAAACCACACCUCAGACCAACCGGAAAUAAGAAGCAGAAGAGGACUCCUCAUCGAACGCCCUCUAAGAUGUCGUUGAAUCGAGUUCUCUGAGAUUCAACUGCCGGGGAAGUGCUGUAGCGGCAACAAUGCUGGCUGAACUCAGCCACUCAACGAACUAAAAUUUAAACGAAACUUGUUAGAAGGUCGGCAGAUCGAAAGACCUACAUAUAGAUUAAAAACCAUUCUAAUUUCGACUUGCAAAAAUGUACCUUGCUCUAUUUAUUGAUACUUGUUGAAAAAUUUAUUAAACAAAAUAAAGUUAAAUUUAAUAUAUCGUCGCUGUUAAAGAAAAUUUAUUAAACAAAAUGAAGUUAAAUUUAAUAUAUCAUCGCUGUUAAAGAAAACCCGCAUAACUCAAAAAUCUUAAUUCUUCAGAAAAGUUGUUUUAAAUUUUCAAGGUUAGGUAUCAAUUUUCCAUACUGGGGUUGGGGUCGAAAUUCUGUAUGGGCCAAAAUUCGGAUUCCAAAAUUCUGUAUUCCGAAAUUCUGUAUUUUAAAAUUCUGCAAAUUCAAAAUUCUGUAAAUUCAAAAUUCUGUAUUCUAAAAUUCUGUAAAUACAAAAUUCUGGAUUUCAAAAUUCUGGAUUUCAAAAUUCUGUAUUCCAAAAUUCUGUAUUCCAAAA